UACGUAGGUGGCGAGCGUUGUCCGGAUUUAUUGGGCGUAAAGCGCGCGAAGGUGGUGUGGUCAGUCUGUCGUGAAAUCUCCCGGCUCAACUGGGAGGGUGCGGUGGAGACGGCCAGACUAGAGGCACUCAGAGGCCGGUGGAAUUCCCGGUGUAGUGGUGGAAUGCGUAGAGAUCGGGAGGAACACCAGUGGCGAAGGCGGCCGGCUGGGGGUGACCUGACGCUGAGGCGCGAAAGCGUGGGGAGCGAACCGG
RNAcentral lists this ribosomal RNA (253 nucleotides) under uncultured bacterium. RNAcentral describes it as "partial 16S ribosomal RNA". It matches the Rfam family "Bacterial small subunit ribosomal RNA", at positions 524 to 776 of the family's 1533-position model. The record is from RNAcentral.